Long non-coding RNA from Panthera uncia (snow leopard), 1847 nucleotides. RefSeq lists it as uncharacterized. The record is from RefSeq and is a predicted model, not a curated record. The transcript has 3 exons. Lineage: Eukaryota; Metazoa; Chordata; Mammalia; Carnivora; Felidae.
CGUUCUGACCAGUGUGAGGAGGUAUCUCAUUGUGGUUUUGAUUUGUAUUUCCCUGAUGAUGAGCGAUGUUGAGCAUAUUUUAUGUGUCUGUUUGCCAUCUGGAUGUCUUCUUUAGAAAAGUGUCUAUUAAUGUCUUCUGCCCAUUUCUUCUGGAUUAUUUGCUUUUGGGGUGUUGAGUUUGACAGAGCGUGAGCAUGAGAGGAACAGAGAGAGGAAGAGACACAGAAUCUGAAGCAGGCUCCAGGCUCUGAGCUGUCAGCACAGAGCCCAAUGUGGGGCUUGAACUCACAAACCACGAGAUCAUGACCUGAGCCGAAGUCAAGACGCUUAACUGGCUGAGCCACCCAGGUGCCCCUAAAUGAUUAUGAUUAUUAGCAGGCUGGAGCUGAGCAGCACUGUGUCCCCCAGAAGUUCCCACCUGUGGCUUGGGAGUCUAUCCAUAUGAGACCCAGACAUGAGGACCCAUCCCAGAAAGCCUGAAUGUCCAGACAUGAGGCAUGUGCAUGCACAUUUGUCAUGCAUCUAGGCCCUACAGGACUGUGUGGAUAAGAGCCACCCCCACCCACCAGUCCAUCUUUCUGUCACCAGCAAUUAACCCACACUGCACUUCUGAUGCAGUGCCUGGAAAGGUUCUUAUAGGCAGCAUUAAGCAGAAUUUAGAAGGUUUUGCAUUUUGUAGUAUAUAUCAAAUAUGGCAAAUCUCAGAAUAAAACUUCCUAAAAUACGCCAUAAUGAGGAUGCAACAUUGCCUGUGUUGUUUGUUGUUGUUGGUUUUUUUUUAAAUGUCCUCACUGAAAUGAUGUUAUCAGUAUGCGAUGAAUUUACGUUUCAUAAUACUAUAUGAUACUUUCACCCAGGAAGGUUUCACACUUGCCAGGUAUGGUGCCUUGAAUGGUAGCCCCCAAGGUAGGUCCAUGCCAAAUCCCUGGAAUAUAUAAAUGUUCCCUUAUUUGGAAAAAGAUUAUUCACAGAUGGAAAAAAUUAAGAAUGCUGAGAUGAUGAGAUCAUUGUGGAUUAUGCAAGUCAGUCCUGAAUCCAAUGGCAGCUGUCCUUCUGGAAGACACACAAAGGAGAGACACACAGAAGAGGAAGUGGCAAUGGAAAUAUUUGAUUGAUAUGGCCACAAGCCAAGGAAGCAAAGGGAUGCCAACAGCUGCCAGAAGCCAGAAGAGGCAAGGAAGGAUUCUACCCUACAUUAGCCUUCAGAAUAAUGAGAAAAUAAACUUACAUUGUUUUAAGCUGCCAAAUUUGUGGUAACUUAUUAUAGCAACCACAGGACCUUAACACAAGUGCUCAAACUUCAGGUACACAUCUUUCAUCCCUUGGAGUUAAGGAAGCCUCUUUCCUUAGCUUCCCACUAUUGCCAAAAUGGGCUAACAAUAGGACUACAUGUAAAACUGAAACUAUGGACUAGAGAUCUUCCUGAGUUAUGAUGGGGUUACAUUGCACUAAACCCUUUACAAGUUGAAAAUAUCCUAAUUAAAAAAUGCAUUGAGGGGCGCCUGGGUGGCUUGGUCGGUUAAGCGUCCGACUUCGGCUCAGGUCGUGAUCUCACGGCCCGUGAGUUCGAGCCCCGCGUUGGGCUCUGUGCUGACAGCUCAGAGCCUGGAGCCUGUUUCAGGUUCUGUGUCUCCCUCUGUCUCUGCCCCUCCCCUGUUCAUGCUCUGUCUCUCUCUGUCUCAAAAAUAAAUAAACGUUGAAAAAAAAUUUUUUUAAAAAUACAUUGAAUACGCCUGGCCUACUGAAUGUCAUAGCUUAGUCUAGCCUAACUUAAACAUGCUCAGAACACUUAGAUUAGUUUACAGUUUGGCAAAUUCAUCUAACACCAAGCCUAUUUUAUAAUAAAG